RNAcentral lists this long non-coding RNA (981 nucleotides) under Homo sapiens (human). RNAcentral describes it as "non-protein coding lnc-PDCD1-7:12". The record is from RNAcentral. Lineage: Eukaryota; Metazoa; Chordata; Mammalia; Primates; Hominidae.
CACAUGUCACGGGGAGGAGGGAGGCCUCAGUCCCCGGGGUGAAGGGACACACCCACCCACCCUGGUCUCCGAAGCUCUUCCCUCUCCCCAUCUCCAGGGUGGAGAGGCAGUGAGUCGGGGAUACGAUGGCGGAAGGGGAGGCGACCUCCCUCUGGGAUUCGAAUCCAGCCCUCCCACCUGGCAGUCAUGGGACCUCCCUAAGCGGUUUAACUGCCAAGUCCCAGAUCCCAUCUGUGAAGCCAGGCACAGUCCCGCCUGGAUGCCUCCAGCCCACCUGGAGCUGUGAAUGAACCAGCACCUUUCCCGCCUCCUUCCAGCCCUCCGACCAUGGCCUCUCGCAGGACCCCUGGGAAUCACCCUCAUCUGUCACUGUUUCCCCACCGGGACCCACCACCGAGGCUACCAGGGAAAAGCCACAGGAUUUGUUUGCAUCUGGGGAGGCAGCUCCACCUUCCUGGCAUGAAUGGUCACUAAUGAUUGGACUUUGUCAGCCUGCAAGGCAGGAAGGAGAUUUACUCUCCACAGACUGGACAGUCCUUAGCUUUGUGCUUGCCACAUAAAUGGCAUUUAAUACAUGCUCCCUGGACUCAGCACCACUCCUGAAGGCCUGUAUUGUGGUCAGCAGUUAUCAUUUCUUCCACAAAUGAGCUCAUUCUUCUCCUCUCAGGAUCAACCCUUUCGCCUUCACUGAGGCAUCAGACACCAGCAUUCGGAGGGACACCCACUCCAUCCUCUUCUCUCAGCUGCCUGUGGAAAUUCCCAUCUCAAACACGUGACUCCCCACAGAGUGGCACUCACUGAUCACGGAUCUUAACUUUAAAAGGUGAAAAAUAAGUCAAGGCUUAAGGUAAAGUAACGGGAGGUGUGGAUGUCUGAGCAAUGCGGUGAACCGAGUCACGGGGCCGCGGAGAUGUUCGCAGCUGGGACUUUCCAGGCCUCCCGAACGCAGAGCGCCCGAAGCCAUCAGUGGCCACAGAGUGU